GAACUACAGGCGCCCGCCAUGAUGCCCGGCUCAUUUUCUGUGUUUUCAGUAGAGACGGGGUUUCACUGUGUUAGCCAGGAAAGUCUUGAUCUCCUGACCUCGUGAUCCUGACCUCGGCCUCCCAAAGUGCUGGGAUUACAGGCGCGAGCCACCGCGCCCGACAGCAGUUAUGAAGUUCUAAAAGCAAGUCUUAAUCAGGAAGUGUCCUUGAUCACCAACGGCUCGCCCAGGCAUGCUGGCUCUCUUCCACUUCCACCUUCCACCAUGGGAUGACGCAGUAAGAAGGCCAUCAGUAGAUGCCAGUCCCUCAACCUUGAACUUUCCAGACGCAGAACUAGUGCACUCCUUGGAAGGAAGUCACUAUAGAUAUCCCACGCAUGUGGAGAGGGGAGCUAUGAUCCACCUCAUGAAGGGCAAGUUUAAACAUUUCAUUCCAUCAUCGUGUUCCUGGUUUCUAUGAGAACUCCACUGUCAUUCUUAUUCUUGUUCCUCUAAAUGUGAGGUAUUUUUUUCUCCUUGGGCUUCUUUCAAAAUUUUUCUCAUUGACUCUGGUUCGCUUAUGACAUGCCUAGGUGUAGUCCAUUUUGAGUAUUAUGUAAUGAGACACCAGAUCUUAUUUCAACCUUCUGUUUUGGCUGGAUUUCCUCUGAAACUGCUCUGGCAGCAAAGGAGGAAGGGUUACUCCCAGCUAGGGUUAUAAUUCCAGGUCCCUCACCUGGCCGCUGGGGAAGAGGCUCCGCAUUACUGCGUGACAGAGAUGCAAGUUCUGAAUCACCUCUAGGCCUCCACUGAGACGCUCCAUCUGGGAUGACUGGAAUUUUGGUUUCUUCUCACCACCUCCACUGAGACGCUCCAUCUGGGAUGACUGGAAUUUUGGUUUCUUCUCACCACCUCCACUGAGACGCUGCAUCUGGGAUGACUAGGAAUUUUGGUUUCUGCUCACCACCUCCACUGAGACGCUCCAUCUGGGAUGACUAGGAAUUUUGGUUUCUGCUCACCACCUCCACUGAGACGCUGCAUCUGGGAUGACUAGGAAUUUUGGUUUCUGCUCACCACCUCCACUGAGACGCUCCAUCUGGGAUGACUAGGAAUUUUGGUUUCUGCUCACCACCUCCACUGAGACGCUCCAUCUGGGAUGACUAGGAAUUUUGGUUUCUGCUCCCCACCUCUACUGAGAUGCUCCAUCUAGGAUGACUAGGAAUUUCUGGUUUCUGCUCACCACCUCCGCUGAGACGCUCCAUCUGGGAUGACUAGGAAUUUUGGUUUCUGCUCACCACCUCCACUGAGACGCUCCAUCUGGGAUGACUAGGAAUUUUGGUUUCUGCUCACCACCUCCACUGAGACGCUCCAUCUGGGAUGACUAGGAAUUUUGGUUUCUGCUCACCACCUCUACUGAGAUGCUCCAUCUAGGAUGACUAGGAAUUUCUGGUUUCUGCUCACCACCUCCGCUGAGACGCUCCAUCUGGGAUGACUAGGAAUUUUGGUUUCUGCUCACCACCUCCACUGAGACGCUCCAUCUGGGAUGACUAGGAAUUUUGGUUUCUGCUCACCACCUCCACUGAGACGCUCCAUCUGGGAUGACUAGGAAUUUUGGUUUCUGCUCACCACCUGGCCUCCUUUGACACACCCAGCGGGGAGGCAGGGUGGGCUCCUCAUUACUGCUAAGUGGGGGAAGAAGUUUAGGCUUUCCCCCGUGGCAAUGGAGACCUGUCUCCUUACGUGGCCCUCUCUGACACCAACCCAUGGGAGUGAGACAUGCCCUGUAAGGGGCUUUGGUGGCCGUGGAGGCAAGGAACAGUUUCUCUCACUGUGUUUGGCUGGAGUAGCGUGGGGUUGCCGAAAGUCUUCUGUCUGCGGAGGCUGUACCUUUGGCCCUUUGGCAAGAGAGCAGUCUUUGGUUAGGAUUUCCAGGUUGCUGGCUUCUUUAUCUCCAUUUCUGGGAUAUAUGUGCCAAAUAAAACAAAAUGAAACAAAAACCAGGGAACACACAGUCAUAUAGUUCUUUUAAAGCACUACAUGGCCAAAGUUUUCAGCCAGUGUGCUUUCUUCUUUUCGUAUUUCAGAGUCUCCUUAUGUUUAUUUUGUACACAAUAUCCUAGGUUUUACUAAAUGGGAAGAAUAAGAAGAAGUAUGUCUACUAUCUUUCUAUUCUAACAAUAUUUUGUUAUUAUAUAAUAAAGUCCAUUUUAAUAUUAUUGAGAGGUAUUUAUUUAGAAAAUGCUUUUUAAUGAUUUUAGGUAAUCUUCACCUAUUUCUAUGUAUUUUUAUUCUUCUGCAUGCUAACAUUUCUCUUUUAUGUGUGUUUUAUCUAUUUCCAUGUGCCAGGUUAUUUCCUAAACUGGCAUUUUGUUAUUAGAGCUAACAUAGUCAAUUUAGAGCCAUGAGAGAAAAGAUCUUUCUUUCUCUCUCAGUAGAUCUUUUUACGGUCUGAUAGGAAGAUCGGGAGUUCAGAGGGCCUUCAUUCAAUUGUAAAUCCUGCUGUUUAUUCUCUAAUCUUAUUCUAUGAUUUUUAAAAUGGCAGAGUUGAAUGUUUAUUCUGAUAAUGCCUGUUUUAUGAGCCACACUGUAGCUUGGAAGCAUCUGCAUCCCCUAUACUUUGUGACAUGUUACAUGGGUAUUGCACGAGCAAUCCAAGUAUUAAGAGCAACCCAACCAAGAUAUUCCUAUUGAUGGCAAGCCACUGAAUUUGAAUGCAAACAAUAAAAACACAGGUGAUGAGCUGUCAAAAGUUAUGCAUUUUUGAUCGAUUACUGCAUUAAAACACUAUUGUAUAAGACAUAGCUCCAGACAGACAAUCGCCUUGUGAGAUUAAUCUAGAUUCACAGGUGAGUACUACUUUUUAAAAGUCAGCAUUCUUUACAUGCCAGAGUUGUCAGUCUUACAGUUUAUUCAAGGAUUAUUGGCCACUCCACAGUCUGUUGCAUGUAUCCUGAAAAGCAUAUUGUCAUCCACUUAUGACUCCCUCUCAUGUUAAAUGGAGUAGCUGCACCUUUGAAAAUGGUGCAUUGAUUACCUAAUUUUCCUCUUCCCCCUAAAGCAUCCAACAUUUGUGUUUCAUUUGUAGUGCUACUUUCCUUGCUCAGAAGUAUGGACUUCAUUUCAUCCAUUUCCUCAAGCCAAUUGAUGGGCUGAGUGAUUGGCAGUGGAUCUGAUUGCCAGGUUUCAUUCACCCAUGAGCUGUACACACCUGUUCCUCUGCCGGUUCAAUAAUAUUCUCAACACAUACAACGCGACUCUGAUGACAAAAGCUCCAUAGCUUGAUUGAAUUCCUUAGUGCCUCUUUUCUAUGCCUUUUUCUGAGAUUCCCACUCUUAUUAACCCUUUCAAUUGUAUACUUCCCUACAUUUCUUCUUUAAUGAUUAUUUCUUUGCACAUGUUUAGAAAAUUUGCAUUACAAGACUAAUAUUUUACUAUUUCCUUACAUUUUGAAUUCUCAACAAAAAUCACCCAACUACCCCCUGACGUAAUUCUUAGCAGACCAAAAAUCCAAAUAAUUUUCAUUCUAAUGUCAUAUCUCAUACACUUUGUAAGGAAUCUAUUUCUUUCAACCUCCCAUUCUCAACACUUCACAUUGUACAGUGCUCUCUGUUUAACGAUUCAAAGCACUGAAAAUGUUUUAAUGAUUUGUUUUCUUAUUUUCCACAUUAUCUUUAAUUCCAUAAAUGCCAAACUUGCCUGGGCCUUUUACAAACAAGCUAGGAAUAUUAAAGCCAUAGAUACACAAUUUUACUUUAGGUUUAGUUACAUUGUGAUUUAAAAGUUCAAAAUCUCAGUGGUUAAAACAGUAAGGCCUAUUUCUUGCUCAAGCUGCAAAUUCAUAGUAGGUUGGCUGAAGUUCUCCUCCAUCUUUUUCAUUCUGGGGCCAUCAUUAUCUACUUGUUUGUUCACUGAUAAGCUUUUACUUUUCUCUCUUCUCUAUAGAAAAAAAAAAUACUCUCUCACUUUUUCUUCCCAAACCAUGUAGCCAUUUUUAACUAUUCCAUCAUCAAUUAGUUUCUAGCUAAUAUUCUCUGACCAAAUCUAGUGACUUCCUUCCUCCUAUCGUUUUAGCUACUUUUUAUGUACAAUCCUCCCUGAUAAUGUUCACAUUAUAUUCUCUAGCUGUAAUGUGUUUAAAAGCGUGCGUGUGUGUUUAUGUGUGCGCAUAUAUGUGCAUAUUCUCUAGAUGCAAACAGAGGAGGAAUUAAUACAGAAACUUAGUUUGCUUUCUCUCAGCAUCGAAUAUGGACUUUUGAAUGAAUUAUCUACAUGUGUCCUUUUGGAAUCAUUGAUAGGAAAGCAUUUGAUCUCUUAGAGAAAAUGAAUAAGAUGCAGUAAUAUAUAGUUACCAUUGUCAAUGAGGCUCAGAAAAGUAAAAUAAAAUAAAUACAGAUGCUUUGAAAUAAUAUAGGUACUACUGU
Molecule: long non-coding RNA, 4400 nt
Filed under: Homo sapiens (human)
Lineage: Eukaryota; Metazoa; Chordata; Mammalia; Primates; Hominidae
Description: HSALNT0395075
Source: RNAcentral